GAGUAACACGUGGAUCAUCUACCUUCUGGUGGGGAAUACCCCCGGGAAACUGGGGACAAUUCCGCAUAAGCUCGGAAGAGGAAAGCAGCAAUGCGCCGGAAGAGGAGUCCGCGGCUGAUUAGCUUGUUGGCGGGGUAAUGGCCCACCAAGGCGAAGAUCGGUAGCCGGCCUGAGAGGGCACACGGCCACACUGGCACUGAAACACGGGCCAGACUCCUACGGGAGGCAGCAGUGGGGAAUCUUGCACAAUGGGGGAAACCCUGAUGCAGCGACGCCGCGUGAGCGAUGAAGCCCUUCGGGGUGUAAAGCUCUUUCGACGGGAACGAUAAUGACGGUACCCGAAGAAGAAGCUGCGGCUAACUACGUGCCAGCAGCCGCGGUAAUACGUAGGCAGCAAGCGUUGUUCGGAAUUACUGGGCGUAAAGAGUGUGUAGGCGGUGCUCUAAGUUCGGUGUGAAAUCUCCCGGCUCAACUGGGAGGGUGCGCCGGAAACUGGAGUGCUCGAGGUU
This 509-nucleotide ribosomal RNA is filed under the name uncultured bacterium. RNAcentral describes it as "bacterial SSU rRNA". It matches the Rfam family "Bacterial small subunit ribosomal RNA", at positions 108 to 649 of the family's 1533-position model. The record is from RNAcentral.